This 767-nucleotide ribosomal RNA is filed under the name uncultured Hypocreales. RNAcentral's name for it is "SSU rRNA". It matches the Rfam family "Eukaryotic small subunit ribosomal RNA", at positions 573 to 1354 of the family's 1831-position model. The record is from RNAcentral. Lineage: Eukaryota; Fungi; Ascomycota; Sordariomycetes; Hypocreales.
CAGCCGCGGUAAUUCCAGCUCCAAUAGCGUAUAUUAAAGUUGUUGUGGUNAAAAAGCUCGUAGUUGAACCUUGGGCCGGGCUGGCCGGUCCGCCUCACCGCGUGUACUGGUCCGGCCGGGCCUUUCCCUUCUGUGGAACCCCAUGCCCUUCACUGGGUGUGGCGGGGAAACAGGACUUUUACUGUGAAAAAAUUAGAGUGCUCCAGGCAGGCCUAUGCUYGAAUACAUUAGCAUGGAAUAAUAGAAUAGGACGUGUGGUUCUAUUUUGUUGGUUUCUAGGACCGCCGUAAUGAUUAAUAGGGACAGUCGGGGGCAUCAGUAUUCAAUUGUCAGAGGUGAAAUUCUUGGAUUUAUUGAAGACUAACUACUGCGAAAGCAUUUGCCAAGGAUGUUUUCAUUAAUCAGGAACGAAAGUUAGGGNAUCGAAGACGAUCAGAUACCGUCGUAGUCUUAACCAUAAACUAUGCCGACUAGGGAUCGGACGGUGUUAUUUUUUGACCCGUUCGGCACCUUACGAGAAAUCAAAGUGCUUGGGCUCCAGGGGGAGUAUGGUCGCAAGGCUGAAACUUAAAGAAAUUGACGGAAGGGCACCACCAGGGGUGGAGCCUGCGGCUUAAUUUGACUCAACACGGGGAAACUCACCAGGUCCAGACACAAUGAGGAUUGACAGAUUGAGGGCUCUUUCUUGAUUUUGUGGGUGGUGGUGCAUGGCCGUUCUUAGUUGGUGGAGUGAUUUGUCUGCUUAAUUGCGAUAACGAACGAGACCU